RNAcentral lists this ribosomal RNA (344 nucleotides) under uncultured bacterium. RNAcentral describes it as "bacterial SSU rRNA". It matches the Rfam family "Bacterial small subunit ribosomal RNA", at positions 43 to 366 of the family's 1533-position model. The record is from RNAcentral.
GGGCCGCGGGAAUUCGAUUCAGGCCUAACACAUGCAAGUCGAACGAUGAAGCUGAAGAAUGCUCCGGUGGAUUAGUGGCGAACGGGUGAGUAACACGUGAGAAAUCUGCCCUUGACUCUGGGAUAACUGCGGGAAACUGUAGCUAAUACCGGAUACUUUCCUUAGUGGGCAUCCACUGGGGAAGAAAGAAUUUCGGUCAAGGAUGAUCUCGCGGCCUAUCAGCUAGUUGGUGAGGUAAUGGCUCACCAAGGCGACGACGGGUAGCCGGCCUGAGAGGGUGACCGGCCACACUGGGACUGAGACACGGCCCAGACUCCUACGGGAGGCAGCAGUGGGGAAUAUUG